AUUGAACGCUGGCGGCAGGCCUAACACAUGCAAGUCGAACGGCAGCACAGAAGAGAUUGCCCUUUGGGUGGCGCGUGGCGGACGGGCGAGUAAUGUCUGGGAAACUGCGCGAUGGAGGGGGAUAACCACUGGAAACGGUAGCUAAUACCGCAUAACGGCGCAAGACACAAGUGGGGGACCUUCGGGCCUCACACCAUCGGAUGUGCCAAGAUGGGAUUAGCUAGUAGGGGGGGUAAUGGCUCACCUAGGCGACAAUCCCUAGCUAGUCUGAGAGGAUGACCAGCAACACGGGAACUGAGACACGGUCCAGACGCCUACGGGAGGCAGCAGUGGGGAAUAUUGCACAAUGGGCGCAAGCCUGAUGCAGCCAUGCCGCGUGUAUGAAGAAGGCCUUCGGGUUGUAAAGUACUUUCAGCGGGGAGGAAGGCGGUGAGGUUAAUAACCUUGCCGAUUGACGUUACCCGCAGAAGAAGCACCGGCUAACUCCGUGCCAGCCGCCGCGGUAA
This 506-nucleotide ribosomal RNA is filed under the name uncultured bacterium. Its description in RNAcentral is "partial 16S ribosomal RNA". It matches the Rfam family "Bacterial small subunit ribosomal RNA", at positions 29 to 523 of the family's 1533-position model. The record is from RNAcentral.